GAUGAAGAACGUAGCGAAAUGCGAUAAGUAAUGUGAAUUGCAGAAUUCAGUGAAUCAUCGAAUCUUAGAACGCACAUUGCGCCCCUUGGUAUUCCGAGGGGCAUGCCUGUUCGAGCGUCAUUAUAACCCCUCAAGCUCAGCUUGGUGUUGGGGCCUGCUGCACUGGCAGCCCUUAAAAUCAGUGGCGGCGCCAUCUGGCUCUAAGCGUAGUAAUUCUUCUCGCUAUGGAGUCCUGGUGGAUGCUUGCCAUCAACCCCCAAUUUUUCUAUGGUUGACCUCGGAUCAGGUAGGGAUACCCGCUGAACUUAAGCAUAUCAAUAAGCGGAGGA
RNAcentral lists this unclassified non-coding RNA (329 nucleotides) under soil metagenome. RNAcentral describes it as "partial contains 5.8S ribosomal RNA, internal transcribed spacer 2, and large subunit ribosomal RNA". The stretch from base 1 to 120 matches the Rfam family "5.8S ribosomal RNA", at positions 35 to 154 of the family's 154-position model. The record is from RNAcentral.